AGUGAACGCUGGCGGUAGGCCUAACACAUGCAAGUCGAACGGCAGCACAGGAGAGCUUGCUCUCUGGGUGGCGAGUGGCGGACGGGUGAGGAAUACAUCGGAAUCUACUUUUUCGUGGGGGAUAACGUAGGGAAACUUAAGCUAAUACCGCAUACGACCUACGGGUGAAAGCAGGGGAUCUUCGGACCUUGCGCGAUUGAAUGAGCCGAUGUCGGAUUAGCUAGUUGGAGGGGUAAAGGCCCACCAAGGCGACGAUCCGUAGCUGGUCUGAGAGGAUGAUCAGCCGCACUGGAACUGAGAAACGGUCCAGACUCCUACGGGAGGCAGCAGUGGGGAAUAUUGGACAAUGGGCGCAAGCCUGAUCCAGCCAUACCGCGUGGGUGAAGAAGGCCUUCGGGUUGUAAAGCCCUUUUGUUGGGAAAGAAAUCCAGCUGGUUAAUACCCGGUUGGGAUGACGGUACCCAAAGAAUAAGCACCGGCUAACUUCGUGCCAGCCGCCGCCGUAA
This 506-nucleotide ribosomal RNA is filed under the name uncultured bacterium. RNAcentral describes it as "partial 16S ribosomal RNA". It matches the Rfam family "Bacterial small subunit ribosomal RNA", at positions 29 to 523 of the family's 1533-position model. The record is from RNAcentral.